CAAGACCGCGUGGGGGAGGAAGGCUCUAGGGUUGUAAACCCCUUUUCUUUGGGAAGAAGAAAGUGACGGUACCAAAGGAAUCAGCCUCGGCUAACUCCGUGCCAGCAGCCGCGGUAAUACGGAGGAGGCAAGCGUUAUCCGGAAUGAUUGGGCGUAAAGCGUCCGCAGGUGGCCAUGUAAGUCUGCUGUCAAAACCCAGGGCUCAACUCUGGUCAGGCAGUGGAAACUACAAAGCUAGAGUUCUGGUAGGGGCAAAGGGAAUUCCCGGCGUAGCGGUGAAAUGCGUAGAUUUCGGGAAGAACAUCGGUGGC
Molecule: ribosomal RNA, 311 nt
Filed under: Hydrocoleum sp. TK21
Lineage: Bacteria; Bacillati; Cyanobacteriota; Cyanophyceae; Oscillatoriales; Microcoleaceae
Description: bacterial SSU rRNA
Rfam family: Bacterial small subunit ribosomal RNA
Source: RNAcentral